RNAcentral lists this ribosomal RNA (253 nucleotides) under uncultured bacterium. Its description in RNAcentral is "partial 16S ribosomal RNA". It matches the Rfam family "Bacterial small subunit ribosomal RNA", at positions 524 to 776 of the family's 1533-position model. The record is from RNAcentral.
UACGAAGGGGGCUAGCGUUGCUCGGAAUCACUGGGCGUAAAGGGCGCGUAGGCGGAUUGCUAAGUCAGGGGUGAAAUCCUGGAGCUCAACUCCAGAACUGCCUUUGAUACUGGCGAUCUCGAGUCCGGGAGAGGUGAGUGGAACUGCGAGUGUAGAGGUGAAAUUCGUAGAUAUUCGCAAGAACACCAGUGGCGAAGGCGGCUCACUGGCCCGGUACUGACGCUGAGGUGCGAAAGCGUGGGGAGCAAACAGG